GCAUCACUGAGUGUUGAUAACAAGUAAAUCUCCUACUUGGGAUGUAACCCUUUCAGCACUGGGAUUUUCUCUGUCCAGUACCUAGCACAAUGGGACCCCGAUCUUGUUGGGAGCCAAUGGGUGCAAACGUAAUACUAAUGAGAGAUGAGGCCUUACUGCACAUCCAGGAGCGUAUGUGAGAUAUUUGAGGAAUCUCAGCAACUCAGACAGAAUAUUAGUAUAAUGAGGCUCAACAUGAAAAUCUCAAGGAAUGCAAGGAAGAGAGCCUGACCCACUCUGACAGAAGACGAAUGGUACAGGCUCCUCUUUAAGGAACUGCUGCUGCUGAAUGCCAGGGAGUUCCUGAAACACAUGAUGCCACAACAGGAAGAGCACCAAGGGAUAGCCAGGGACUUUUAUUUCUUAUCUAGAUAGCAGACAAGCACCCUAGAAAACCCAUACAGGCAGAGAAGCAUGCGGUGCUCUUCCUGCAGACUUGCUGCGUGUUUCGGCUCCGUCCUGUCGCUCAGCAGCCAGUCCUUCCCGAGGAACCU
Dermochelys coriacea (leatherback sea turtle) is the source of this 533-nucleotide long non-coding RNA. RefSeq lists it as uncharacterized. The transcript is spliced from 3 exons. NCBI's taxonomy places the organism in Eukaryota, Metazoa, Chordata, Testudines, Dermochelyidae. The record is from RefSeq and is a predicted model, not a curated record.